AGCAGGGGAACUUCAACUAAACGUGCACGUCCUGUGCACAACGUUGAAGUCAUCACAUCCUGUGAA
Molecule: small RNA, 66 nt
Filed under: Sporolactobacillus nakayamae
Lineage: Bacteria; Bacillati; Bacillota; Bacilli; Caryophanales; Sporolactobacillaceae
Description: Bacillaceae-1 RNA
Rfam family: Bacillaceae-1 RNA
Source: RNAcentral